This 221-nucleotide non-coding RNA is filed under the name Bacillus sp. (in: firmicutes). RNAcentral describes it as "Bacillus sp. T-box sequence". It matches the Rfam family "T-box leader". Rfam says of the family: Uncharged tRNA acts as the effector for transcription antitermination of genes in the T-box leader family. The record is from RNAcentral. Lineage: Bacteria; Bacillati; Bacillota; Bacilli; Caryophanales; Bacillaceae.
CAAAAGAUGAUGACAAGGAGUAGUAAUGAUGACUUUCGGCUCUAGAGAGCUGGCGGUAGGUGCAAGCCAGUCCGAAACCUCAUGAACUCGCCUUUGGAAUUGCAGGUGCGAAUCAUAAUUAGUAGUGCCUGCCGCUGAUCUGCGUUAAAGACAUAAAGCAGGGUGCCGAUUGAGGGCACUAAUCUGGGUGGUACCGCGGGAACUAUACUCUCGUCCCAAUU